This 205-nucleotide unclassified non-coding RNA is filed under the name soil metagenome. RNAcentral's name for it is "partial contains 5.8S ribosomal RNA, internal transcribed spacer 2, and large subunit ribosomal RNA". The record is from RNAcentral.
AACCUUAUGGACCUGCGGGCGUAUACCUGCGGAAGGAUCAUUACAGAGUUGCAAAACUCCCCAAACCAUCGUGAACCCACCCCUAAACAGUUGCUUCGGCGGCGCGCCCCGGCGCCCGCCGGAGCCCCCUAAACUCUUGUUUUUACCGAACCGGCCUCUCUGAGUACUGUACUUUUAAUAAGUCAAAACUUUUAACAACGGAUCU